GACGAACGCUGGCGGCGUGCUUAACACAUGCAAGUCGAACGGAAAGGUCCUGCUUUUGUGGGGUGCUCGAGUGGCGAACGGGUGAGUAACACGUGAGUAACCUGCCCUUGACUUUGGGAUAACUUCAGGAAACUGGGGCUAAUACCGGAUAGGAGCUCCUGCUGCACGUGGGGGGAUGGAAAGUUUCGGCGGUUGGGGAUGGACUCGCGGCUUAUCAGCUUGUUGGUGGGGUAGUGGCUUACCAAGGCUUUGACGGGUAGCCGGCCUGAGAGGGUGACCGGCCACAAUGGGACUGAGAUACGGCCCAGACUCCUACGGGAGGCAGCAGUGGGGAGUAUUGCACAAUGGGCGGAAGCCUGAUGCAGCAACGCCGCGUGCGGGAUGACGGCCUUCGGGUUGUAAACCGCUUUCGCCGGUGACGAAGCGUGAGUGACGGUAAUGGGUAAAGAAGCACCGGCUAACUACGUG
This 468-nucleotide ribosomal RNA is filed under the name uncultured bacterium. RNAcentral describes it as "partial 16S ribosomal RNA". It matches the Rfam family "Bacterial small subunit ribosomal RNA", at positions 28 to 507 of the family's 1533-position model. The record is from RNAcentral.